GCCCUCUCAAGGUUGCACCUGGAGAGUUUCCAGUCCUCUACCAGUCUCGGCUAUGGGAGGGAGAAUCAAGCAGAAGUAUACUCAUUCCAUUCCUAGCUUGGCCAGGGGCUAGUGAGUGGAAGGCAAUCUGCUACAAGU
This is a small nucleolar RNA of Ornithorhynchus anatinus (platypus), 138 nucleotides long. The record is from RefSeq and is a predicted model, not a curated record. Lineage: Eukaryota; Metazoa; Chordata; Mammalia; Monotremata; Ornithorhynchidae.